Molecule: unclassified non-coding RNA, 337 nt
Filed under: soil metagenome
Description: partial contains 5.8S ribosomal RNA, internal transcribed spacer 2, and large subunit ribosomal RNA
Rfam family: 5.8S ribosomal RNA (bases 1-120)
Source: RNAcentral
GAUGAAGAACGUAGCGAAAUGCGAUAAGUAAUGUGAAUUGCAGAAUUCAGUGAAUCAUCGAAUCUUUGAACGCACAUUGCGCCCGCCAGUAUUCUGGCGGGCAUGCCUGUUCGAGCGUCAUUUCAACCAUCAAGCCUUAGGCUUGUGUUGGAGCUCUGCGACUGUCCGCAGGCCCCUAAAUGCAGUGGCGGGCUCGCUAUCACACCGAGUGCAGUAGUUUUCUUUCUCGCUCAGGGCGUUUAGUGGGUGCUAGCCGUAAAACCCCCUUUUCUCACAAGGUUGACCUCGGAUCAGGUAGGAAUACCCGCUGAACUUAAGCAUAUCAAUAAGCGGAGGA